This 795-nucleotide ribosomal RNA is filed under the name Kaloula baleata (brown bullfrog). Its description in RNAcentral is "partial large subunit ribosomal RNA". It matches the Rfam family "Bacterial large subunit ribosomal RNA", at positions 1245 to 2541 of the family's 2925-position model. Lineage: Eukaryota; Metazoa; Chordata; Amphibia; Anura; Microhylidae. The record is from RNAcentral.
UAUACUAAUUCCACCAAUUAACCAAAACCCUUAACCAAUACUGAAUGACUCCAUAAACAUAUGGAAUACUAUAUGCUAGAACUAGUAAUAAGAAGAAGACCUUCUCCAAAAUAUAAGUGUGAGCCGAAAUGAACAAUUCACCGGCAUUUAACGCAACUGAACUAAUAGUAGUAACAAAAACAAGAAAACCCUACUACAUGCUGCGUCAACCUUACACUAGAAUAUUCCAGGAAAGAUUAAAAGAAAAGGAAGGAACUCGGCAAACCCAAUAACCCCGCCUGUUUACCAAAAACAUCGCCUCUUGCAAAAAUAUAAGAGGUCCAGCCUGCCCAGUGACAAAGUUAAACGGCCGCGGUACCCUAACCGUGCGAAGGUAGCGCAAUCACUUGUUCUUUAAAUGAGGACUAGUAUGAAUGGCAUCACGAGGGUUACACUGUCUCCCUUUUCCAAUCAAUGAAACUGACCUCCCCGUGAAGAGGCGGGGAUAAAACUAUAAGACGAGAAGACCCCAUGGAGCUUUAAACUCAGUAUCAACUAUCUAACUAUACACCAUCAAAAUCUGAUAGCUCUGACCACUAGUUUUCGGUUGGGGUGACCGCGGAGCAAAACAAAACCUCCACGAUGAACGAACCAAUGUUCCUAAUCAUAGAGCCACAGCUCAAAGAAUCAAAAAAUUGACAUAAAUUGAUCCAAUUAGUUUNGAUCAACGAAYCAAGUUACCCUGGGGAUAACAGCGCAAUCCACUUCAAGAGCUCCUAUCGACAAGUGGGUUURCGACCUCGAUGUUGGAUCAGG